This 417-nucleotide ribosomal RNA is filed under the name uncultured Alphaproteobacteria bacterium. RNAcentral describes it as "bacterial SSU rRNA". It matches the Rfam family "Bacterial small subunit ribosomal RNA", at positions 8 to 451 of the family's 1533-position model. Lineage: Bacteria; Pseudomonadati; Pseudomonadota; Alphaproteobacteria. The record is from RNAcentral.
AGAGUUUGAUCAUGGCUCAGAACGAACGCUGGCGGCAGGCCUAACACAUGCAAGUCAAGCGCAGUCCUUCGGGACCGAGCGGCGGACGGGUUAGUAACGCGUGGGAAUGUACCCUUCUCUAAGGAAUAGCCUCGGGAAACUGAGAGUAAUACCUUAUACGCCCUUCGGGGGAAAGAUUUAUCGGAGAAGGAUCAGCCCGCGUUAGAUUAGAUAGUUGGUGGGGUAAUGGCCUACCAAGGCGACGAUCCAUAGCUGGUCUGAGAGGAUGAUCAGCCACACUGGAACUGAGACACGGUCCAGACUCCUACGGGAGGCAGCAGUGGGGAAUAUUGGACAAUGGGGGCAACCCUGAUCCAGCCAUGCCGCGCGUGUGAAGAAGGCUCUAGGGUUGUAAAGCACUUUAAGUAGGGAGGAAGG